UUUAUGUAAAUGUUAAUCUGUAUGAUAAUAGGAGAAAUUACUCCGGAGUUAACAGAAUGAUAUUUUUUAUAUAGUUGUUAUAUUAGAAAAAAUAUUACAUCGAUGUUGUAUUUAUAUUAGUCAAGGGGUAGAGAAUUUGAUGUUUUAGACUGUUCUUCUAUGAGAAAAUAUAACGUGAUAUUAGUUU
Molecule: ribosomal RNA, 187 nt
Filed under: Syphacia muris
Lineage: Eukaryota; Metazoa; Nematoda; Chromadorea; Rhabditida; Oxyuridae
Description: partial large subunit ribosomal RNA
Source: RNAcentral